UCAAAGUGGAACCCAGAAACCACUUUAAAAAACGGGGCGAAGCCGAAAAGCCAAACGAGUAGGCAUUCC
Molecule: non-coding RNA, 69 nt
Organism: Algoriphagus sp. A40
Lineage: Bacteria; Pseudomonadati; Bacteroidota; Cytophagia; Cytophagales; Cyclobacteriaceae
Source: Rfam